AUCGCUUCUCGGCCUUUUGGCUAAGAUCAAGUGUAGUAUCUGUUCUUAUCAGUUUAAUAUCUGAUACGUCCCCAUCGGGGGACUAUACAUAUUAAAUGGAUUUUUCGAACAGGGAGUCGGAAGCGGGGCUUGCUCGUCCGCUCCACGCAUCGACUCGUAUUGCAGUACCUCCGAGAACGGUGCACCCUCU
RNAcentral lists this small nuclear RNA (190 nucleotides) under Esox lucius (northern pike). RNAcentral's name for it is "U2 spliceosomal RNA". It matches the Rfam family "U2 spliceosomal RNA". From Rfam's summary of the family: U2 is a small nuclear RNA (snRNA) component of the spliceosome (involved in pre-mRNA splicing). Complementary binding between U2 snRNA (in an area lying towards the 5' end but 3' to hairpin I) and the branchpoint sequence (BPS) of the intron results the bulging out of an unpaired adenosine, on the BPS, which initiates a nucleophilic attack at the intronic 5' splice site, thus starting the first of two transesterification reactions that mediate splicing. Lineage: Eukaryota; Metazoa; Chordata; Actinopteri; Esociformes; Esocidae. The record is from Rfam by way of RNAcentral.